This 274-nucleotide ribosomal RNA is filed under the name uncultured prokaryote. RNAcentral describes it as "partial 16S ribosomal RNA". It matches the Rfam family "Bacterial small subunit ribosomal RNA", at positions 524 to 795 of the family's 1533-position model. The record is from RNAcentral.
CACGGGGGUUGCGAGCGUUGUCCGGAAUUACUAGGCGUAAAGGGCAGGCAGGCGGAUCCAUAAGUUUAUCGUUUAAGGCGUCGGCUUAACCGGCGUAGGGCGGUAGAUACUGUGGAUCUGGAAUGCGGUUGGGGAAGACAGAAUUCCUGGUGUAGCGGUGGAAUGCGCAGAGAUCAGGAGGAAUACCGAAGGCGAAGGCAGUCUUCCAAGCCGUUAUUGACGCUCAACUGCGAAGGUGUGGGUAUCAAACAGGAUUAGAUACCCAGUCCCUGAG